Molecule: ribosomal RNA, 684 nt
Filed under: uncultured Basidiomycota
Lineage: Eukaryota; Fungi; Basidiomycota
Description: eukaryotic LSU rRNA
Rfam family: 5.8S ribosomal RNA (bases 237-390)
Source: RNAcentral
CUUGGUCAUUUAGAGGAAGUAAAAGUCGUAACAAGGUUUCCGUAGGUGAACCUGCGGAAGGAUCAUUAGUGAAUUAAACAUGCUUGGUGUCUUCGCUUCGGCAAGGCCCUUGCUUAAAUCACAUCCUAACACCUGUGAACUGUAAGACGUAUGAUGAGGUCUUUGGCCAAGUCAUCGUCUGCCCUUUUUUAACAAACAAUUAAUGUAACAAACGUAGUCUUAUUAUAACCUAAUAAAACUUUCAACAACGGAUCUCUUGGCUCUCGCAUCGAUGAAGAACGCAGCGAAAUGCGAUAAGUAAUGUGAAUUGCAGAAUUCAGUGAAUCAUCGAAUCUUUGAACGCACCUUGCGCUCUUUGGUAUUCCGAAGAGCAUGCCUGUUUGAGUGUCAUGAAAAUAUCAACCUUGACUUGGGUUUUGCGCUCUAGUCUUGGCUUGGAAUUGGGUGCUUGCCGCUUUUACGAGCGGCUCACCUUAAAUGUAUUAGCUGGAUCUGUCUUUGAGACUUGGUUUGACUUGGCGUAAUAAGUAUUUCGCUAAGGACAUUCUUCGGAGUGGCCUCGUUUCUAGGACGCUUGUCCGCUUCCCAAUACAAGUUCCACCUCAUGGACAUGACUUUUUUAUUAUCUGGCCUCAAAUCAGGUAGGACUACCCGCUGAACUUAAGCAUAUCAAUAAGCGGAGGA